Molecule: ribosomal RNA, 497 nt
Filed under: uncultured bacterium
Lineage: Bacteria
Description: partial 16S ribosomal RNA
Rfam family: Bacterial small subunit ribosomal RNA
Source: RNAcentral
GAUGAACGCUGGCGGCGUGCCUAAUACAUGCAAGUCGAGCGAACGGACGAGAAGCUUGCUUCUCUGAUGUUAGCGGCGGACGGGUGAGUAACACGUGGAUAACCUACCUAUAAGACUGGGAUAACUUCGGGAAACCGGAGCUAAUACCGGAUAAUAUUUUGAACCGCAUGGUUCAAAAGUGAAAGACGGUCUUGCUGUCACUUAUAGAUGGAUCUGCGCUGCAUUAGCUAGUUGGUAAGGUAACGGCUUACCAAGGCAACGAUGCAUAGCCGACCUGAGAGGGUGAUCGGCCACACUGGAGCUGAGACACGGUCCAGACUCCUACGGGAGGCAGCAGUAGGGAAUCUUCCGCAAUGGGCGAAAGCCUGACGGAGCAACACCGCGUGAGUGAUGAAGGUCUUCGGAUCGUAAAACUCUGUUAUUAGGGAAGAACAUAUGUGUAAGUAACUGUGCACAUCUUGACGGUACCUAAUCAGAAAGCCACGGCUAACUACGUG